UGUUAUGUUCUCCUAGGGAACGAGAUACGGGGCAUGCAAGAACCCAUAGAAAAAUCAUUAAGCCAGAGUCAAAGAAUGUGUACUGUAAAGAUCAGCAUCCUAGGAAAGAUGUACACAAAACAGCACAAUGAAGUAAAGAAAAGCUGUGUGCUCAGGUGAAUGUUCAGGAUGUGAAUUGACUUUUUUAUUAUUAUUAAGCAGAUGGAGAUAAAGAAUGUGUGCCAUAAUUACUAUUCCUUAUCAAUAACCUUGCUGUUGAUAUUUAAUCCCACCCAAACUGCCCAGAACUGGAGCUUAUCAGUUUUCUGCUGCUGGCAUGAGAGGCAUUAAUCAGAAUAGGGAAACAUACCUGAAACUGUUGUCAAAAUUGUGAGAAGUGUAGGGCUGUGACAUUCAGUCCAUGGUUAUUUAUCUUUAUGCUUCUAAAUAAAGGCACUUUUUCUGAUCCAGGAUUUUGCUCCAUUCAGCUCCUUUCAAGGAGUGGCAAAAAUAUUCCCCUGAGAACAACAUGCUGCACCACGAGGCUCUUUUGGAAUAUUUUGAGCACUCCAAAUUCCAUAGACCACACAUUUUCUUGACAAAAAUUGAAUUGUUUUUUUUUUCUGGAAACCUCCUUGAAUGCUAAUUCCUCUUUUAGAAAAUGUUUCACCAUUUAACAUUUUAAAAGUCCUUAGAAGAGAUUGCCUGACAGUCAUCUCUCUCUCUCUCUCUCUCUCUCUCUCUCUCACACACACACACACACACACACACACACACACACACUUUCUUUCAUACAGUGCAGCCCCCACAUUUGCUCAUCUGUAUUAGCAGCAGCAUUUUUCUUAUCCCUCAUGAGAUACUAGGAUUUGAGUCUAGGACUUUCUGAAUGUGUUCUGCUACAGUGUUACUGAUUUCCUUUUUCUGCAGCUAUCUCUUUAACUGCCAUCAGCCAAAACUAUAUCUGCAACCAGUAAAAUGUGGAAUCCUUUGCAACAAUGGAAUUUGCAGUAAAAUAAGAGGGAGUGGAGAUGUGCUUCCUCACUACCUUUCACCCAACUAUUUUAAUGUAAUGGCAAAAGUAUGGUUAGAACAAAAUUUAGAAAAGUUAUUUUAAAGUGCCUGCUUCCACAGUCUUCACCAGAAAGGUUAUUUGUAAAUAGUACUUCAAAAUGGAAAUUUCCAUAUAAGUUGGCUUAAAAGGUUUGAAAUCCUGCACCCCGAAACAUUUCAGGAAACAGGAAAGCUGUUGUGCUGAGUACAGAUGCACUUUCCUCCAGAAUGAGGAAAAAAUAAUUGUUGAAAUUGUCCAACUUAGACAAA
This 1299-nucleotide long non-coding RNA is filed under the name Anolis carolinensis (green anole). RNAcentral describes it as "lncRNA (ENSACAG00000036561.1)". Lineage: Eukaryota; Metazoa; Chordata; Lepidosauria; Squamata; Anolidae. The record is from RNAcentral.